CCUACGGGAGGCAGCAGUGAGGAAUAUUGGUCAAUGGACGAGAGUCUGAACCAGCCAAGUAGCGUGAAGGAUGACUGCCCUAUGGGUUGUAAACUUCUUUUAUAUGGGAAUAAAAUGUUCCACGUGUGGGAUUUUGUAUGUACCAUAUGAAUAAGGAUCGGCUAACUCCGUGCCAGCAGCCGCGGUAAUACGGAGGAUCCGAGCGUUAUCCGGAUUUAUUGGGUUUAAAGGGAGCGUAGGGGGAUUGUUAAGUCAGUGGUGAAAGUUUGCGGCUCAACCGUAAAAUUGCAGUUGAAACUGGCAGUCUUGAGUACAGUAGAGGUGUGCGGAAUUCGUGGUGUAGCGGUGAAAUGCAUAGAUAUCACGAAGAACUCCGAUUGCGAAGGCAGUUCACUGGACUGCAACUGACACUGAGGCUCGAAAGUGUGGGUAUCAAACAGGAUUAGAUACCCGGGUAGUC
This 460-nucleotide ribosomal RNA is filed under the name uncultured bacterium. RNAcentral describes it as "partial 16S ribosomal RNA". It matches the Rfam family "Bacterial small subunit ribosomal RNA", at positions 338 to 795 of the family's 1533-position model. The record is from RNAcentral.